CCUGCACGGCUUUGCCGCAGGUCGGGAUGUGAUCCGCGGGGCAUGGCCCCGGUCGGGAUUGAACCAGGAA
RNAcentral lists this non-coding RNA (70 nucleotides) under Halopiger djelfimassiliensis. Its description in RNAcentral is "eL15-Euryarchaeota ribosomal protein leader". It matches the Rfam family "eL15-Euryarchaeota ribosomal protein leader". The record is from RNAcentral. Lineage: Archaea; Methanobacteriati; Methanobacteriota; Halobacteria; Halobacteriales; Natrialbaceae.